Molecule: ribosomal RNA, 450 nt
Filed under: uncultured bacterium
Lineage: Bacteria
Description: partial 16S ribosomal RNA
Rfam family: Bacterial small subunit ribosomal RNA
Source: RNAcentral
CCUACGGGUGGCAGCAGUGAGGAAUAUUGCGCAAUGGGGGAAACCCUGACGCAGCAACGCCGCGUGAGUGAGGAAGGUUUUCGGACCGUAAAGCUCUGUCGAGCGGGAAGAAGUGCAUGGUGGCUAAUAUCCAUUAUGCUUGACGGUACCGCUAAAGGAAGCACCGGCUAACUCCGUGCCAGCAGCCGCGGUAAUACGGGGGGUGCUAGCGUUGUUCGGAAGCAUGGAGCGUACAGAGCGUGUAGGAUGUGAAAGCCCUGGGCUUAACCUAGGAAGUGCAUUUGAAACUGUUCAGCUUGAGUAAGGGAGAGGAAAGUGGAAUUCCUGGUGUAGAGGUGAAAUGCGUAGAGAUCAGGAGGAACACCGGUGGCGAAGGCGACUUUCUGGCCCUAUACUGACGCUGAGACGCGAGAGCGUGGGUAGCAAACAGGAUUAGAUACCCCAGUAGUC